GGCGGAGGACAGCCGAGCGACCAGAGUGACAGCAAAGGAAAGGCGGAGAGCAGGAGAAAGAAGCGUCUGCGCUGGCAAGCUCUCCCGGCAGCGCCGAGAGCCAGAGCUGCGGUGCUGCUGUGCUGAUGCUCCAUACAUUCGCAGUAACGGGUAGAGCGGAAGGCUCCGUGGCCAGGGAAGAGCGGCACGGACACAUUCCUGCUUGCUCCGUUGCACUGGAAUUGCGAUGGCUGGGUUCGGCCGCUAAAUUGAUGGCGCUACCGGAAGAAAUUUCAGAAAAUUUCUUACGGAUAGGAGGCUCGUGUGAGCGUUUAGCCUGUCCCGUCCUUAAUUCUGAACCCACUGGCUGGUGCAGAAGAACGGUCGUGUGACAAAAACAGCAUGAAAUUUGUCCCUGUGCUGGAUGCGUCCCGUGAAAGGGUGGCUUUUUCAUCGAUCUCUUUGUGAGAGUAUCAAAUCAGGUGGCGGUAAAUACGUAGAAGCAACUAGGCGUACUACGGCGUGUACCGGACAGUGUUGGCGUGCCGCUCUGCUAGCAGCGGAGAGCCAGAUGAGGAUGCCCGUGGUAAGUACUCGUUCUGCCUCCAGCUGAACGGAAAGAUUCUCAUGUUGAGGGUUCUUGGGCUUGUCUGUGUGAUUAGCAUUACUUUUUUUUUUUUUUUUAAUAUGAAACAGGGUCAGAUAAUUGUUGAUGAGUGGGACUUUGCGUACUCCUUUAGGUAGCUUUUCAUACUGAAGCUUAGAUCAGUUACAAAACUUAAUCUUUGUGCAGUUUACGCGUUUUGUAGCAUCUGUGGCAGAAACAACUACAAAGACAUUUAUCCUGUAGGUAAGCUGAAAAUAAAAAUGCGGUUUCUCACCUGAUUUUUCUUUUGGAGGAACGCUCGCCCCCAGCGGCUGGUUUUUUUUGCUAGUGUUGUCAGGGGGAAGGAACGGUGGCGCUUGCCUGGUUUCUUCCCCUAGCCAGGGACCUGAAACUUUGUUUUCCUCAGGUGUUUCACUAGAAAUUUACAAGUGUCGGUGGUCAACAGUGGCAGAGAAUUGGGUGGCAUUUUCAAUUUCAAAGGGAAGGAACAUGUUGAUGUUAAUUCUGUUACCAAAAGUGAAGUACCAGCUGCUUCCUCUUUCUAGAUCUUCUCUCCUUUCGCCGUCCUCCCCGAGGGGUAACGUGGCCACGCUGUAUACCUUUUCUGUUCUGGUACCGUUCGUUUGAUACGCAGGAGCGCUGUGAAAUAAAUAGAAGGGCUACGGACAGACAUCUGCCAUCAUUGCGGCUGCCUUAAAUCGUCUAUUUGUCCCUUUAGCCCGUCAUUUCCUUUCCACUCAGUUGAGUUACGUGCAGCGUUAGGUUCCAGUCGAGAGCGGUGCCGCCGAACAACGGUCUUGGAGCGUGUGUGGAGGAGGGCG
Long non-coding RNA from Grus americana (Whooping crane), 1407 nucleotides. RefSeq lists it as uncharacterized. The record is from RefSeq and is a predicted model, not a curated record. The transcript is spliced from 4 exons. Lineage: Eukaryota; Metazoa; Chordata; Aves; Gruiformes; Gruidae.